RNAcentral lists this ribosomal RNA (460 nucleotides) under uncultured bacterium. RNAcentral describes it as "partial 16S ribosomal RNA". It matches the Rfam family "Bacterial small subunit ribosomal RNA", at positions 338 to 795 of the family's 1533-position model. The record is from RNAcentral.
CCUACGGGAGGCAGCAGUGAGGAAUAUUGGUCAAUGGGCGCGAGCCUGAACCAGCCAAGUCGCGUGAAGGAUGACUGCCCUACGGGUUGUAAACUUCUUUUAUACAGGAAUAAAGUGAGGCACGUGUGCCUUUUCGUCUGUACUUUAUGAAUAAGGAUCGGCUAACUCCGUGCCAGCAGCCGCGGUAAUACGGAGGAGACGAGCGUUAUCCGGAUUUAUUGGGUUUAAAGGGAGCGUAGAUGGGUUGUUAAGUCAGUGGUGAAAGUGUGCGGCUCAACCGUAAAAGUGCAAUUGAUACUGGCAGCCUUGAGUACAGUUGAGGUAGGCGGAAUGCGUGGUGUAGCGGUGAAAUGCUUAGAUAUCACGAAGAACUCCGAUUGCGAAGGCAGCUUACUAAACUGCCACUGACAUUGAUGCUCGAAAGUGUGGGUAUCAAACAGGAUUAGAUACCCGAGUAGUC